GGCGCACGGGUGAGUAACGCGUAUAGCAACCUACCGUAUCAGAGGGGAAUAACCCGGCGAAAGUCGGACUAAUACCGCAUAAAACAGGGGCACCGCAUGGUGAUAUUUGUUAAAGAAAUUCGCUGAUAGAUGGGCAUGCGUUCCAUUAGGUAGUUGGUGAGGUAACGGCUCACCAAGCCGACGAUGGAUAGGGAACUGAGAGGUUGGUCCCCCACACUGGUACUGAGACACGGACCAGACUCCUACGGGAGGCAGCAGUGAGGAAUAUUGGUCAAUGGGCGAGAGCCUGAACCAGCCAAGUCGCCGUGAAGGAAGAAGGAUCUAUGGUUCGUAAACUUCUUUUGCAGGGGAAUAAAGUGCGGGACGUGUCCUGUUUUGUAUGUACCCUGAGAAUAAGGAUCGGCUAACUCCGUGCCAGCCGCGGC
This 425-nucleotide ribosomal RNA is filed under the name uncultured bacterium. Its description in RNAcentral is "bacterial SSU rRNA". It matches the Rfam family "Bacterial small subunit ribosomal RNA", at positions 97 to 518 of the family's 1533-position model. The record is from RNAcentral.